Long non-coding RNA from Strongylocentrotus purpuratus (purple sea urchin), 328 nucleotides. RefSeq lists it as uncharacterized. The record is from RefSeq and is a predicted model, not a curated record. NCBI's taxonomy places the organism in Eukaryota, Metazoa, Echinodermata, Echinoidea, Camarodonta, Strongylocentrotidae. The transcript has 2 exons.
CUGUUAAGAAUAAGAUGAUAUUUGUCAUGAUGAGUAAAGCUACAUCGCAGUUGAGUCAUGUACAUUAUCGUGCUUCUGUAUAAUGAAGAUACAGGUCUGUUGCGUGUUUUAGCGGAUAUGAACGAGGCAGAAACCGUAACUUUUGGACUUUCGACGCCCUUGAUUUUUUAUUUCACAUUUCUCAUGCUGGCUCUCCUUCUGCGCUUUAUCGUCCUUUGGAUUAGAGGACUAAAGAAAAAAGAGGUGGAACCAGACCAAGAACGCCCUCAGCGGAUGUAUGAACUUGUAAGAAUCUCAUAUUGAUGACUGCAGAAUCACACCAACGACG